UCGAGAAUUUUUCACAAUGGGCGCAAGCCUGAUGGAGCGACGCCGCGUGGGGGAUGAAGGGUUCCGAUCCGUAAACCCCUGUCAUUUGCGAACAAACCUUGAUUGUGAAUAGCGAUCGAGCUGAUUGUAGCGGAAGAGGAAGGGACGGCUAACUCUGUGCCAGCAGCCGCGGUAAUACAGAGGUCCCAAGCGUUGUUCGGAUUCACUGGGCGUAAAGGGUGCGUAGGUGGUCGGUGAAGUUCGGUGUGAAAGCUCGGAGCUCAACUCCGAAAAGGCAUUGAAAACUCAUCGGCUGGAGGGUGGGAGGGGAGACUGGAAUUCUCGGUGUAGCAGUGAAAUGCGUAGAUAUCGAGAGGAACACCAGUGGCGAAGGCGAGUCUCUGGACGACUCCUGACACUGAGGCACGAAAGCCAGGGGAGCAAACAG
Molecule: ribosomal RNA, 427 nt
Filed under: uncultured bacterium
Lineage: Bacteria
Description: bacterial SSU rRNA
Rfam family: Bacterial small subunit ribosomal RNA
Source: RNAcentral